Molecule: transfer RNA, 81 nt
Filed under: Paragonimus heterotremus
Lineage: Eukaryota; Metazoa; Platyhelminthes; Trematoda; Plagiorchiida; Troglotrematidae
Description: tRNA-Asn
Rfam family: tRNA
About the family: Transfer RNA (tRNA) molecules are approximately 80 nucleotides in length. Their secondary structure includes four short double-helical elements and three loops (D, anti-codon, and T loops). Further hydrogen bonds mediate the characteristic L-shaped molecular structure. tRNAs have two regions of fundamental functional importance: the anti-codon, which is responsible for specific mRNA codon recognition, and the 3' end, to which the tRNAs corresponding amino acid is attached (by aminoacyl-tRNA synthetases). tRNAs cope with the degeneracy of the genetic code in two manners: having more than one tRNA (with a specific anti-codon) for a particular amino acid; and 'wobble' base-pairing, i.e. permitting non-standard base-pairing at the 3rd anti-codon position.
Source: RNAcentral
GGCUUCGUAGCUCAGGUGGUAGAGUGCUUGCCACGUUGAGGCGUGGUGUUUCUGUCGCUGAUUCGAAUCCAGCUGGAGCCA